This 536-nucleotide long non-coding RNA is filed under the name Equus caballus (horse). Its description in RNAcentral is "lncRNA (ENSECAG00000051745.1)". The record is from RNAcentral. Lineage: Eukaryota; Metazoa; Chordata; Mammalia; Perissodactyla; Equidae.
UGGGGCUAUUCCCUGUUGGUCUUAAUAGCCAGCAAAGUCAGGUAUUAUGACACUUAUCUAGGUUGUACUGAAUUCAAAGGCUGCUUAUUGUGGCAUAGCUCUCCUGCUCAGGUAACCUCCUCCUCCAGGAAAAGCUUUGUACCUAAAGAUUGCUCCUGGCCAUGAAGUGCCAUGGCUAGAAUGUGUUUUUUUCCACAGCAGAAAGUCCAUCACCUGCUGGCAGGACACCAAGGGGAAAAAAAAAGUGAUAUGAUUAGGAAGGAUACCAUCAACUCAGGCAAAGACACCAGAGAUUAUCGAGUCACAAAAUCUCCCUUGGUUCAGCCUUCAGGUGGAGAUUUUCCUUUGCUGAACUUGCAGGGCUCAUGUCCAUGAGAGAAAGACCCACAAGAGGAACACUGAGGUUUACUCCUCUCACUCACUUAAUGGCGGUCCCUUCUGCAUGUUGUGCAGAUGCAUUGUUUCAUCAUGGCCGUGCUUAUGGGCAAGAGAUGCAAGGAGAGAGAACUGAUGAUUAACCAAUGCACAGAGAAAAU